Molecule: long non-coding RNA, 201 nt
Filed under: Lathyrus oleraceus (garden pea)
Lineage: Eukaryota; Viridiplantae; Streptophyta; Magnoliopsida; Fabales; Fabaceae
Description: Pisum sativum (pea) long non-coding RNA (PSAT_LNC014430)
Source: RNAcentral
GAAUUCUCAUGCAAAAGGAAAAUGAGAAACUUCUCAACAAAAGGUUAAGAAUAAAGCUGGAAAGGAUGAUUAACUCAUGCGAAAGGUAAUGAGAAACUUCUCAACAAAAGGUUAAGAAGAGAGAUGGAUGGGAUUUCUCAUACGAAAGGUGUGAGAAACUUCUUAACAAAAGGCUAAGAAGAAAACCUGAGGGGAUUAUCA